CAGCAGCCGCGGUAAUACGUAGGGUGCGAGCGUUAAUCGGAUUUACUGGGCGUAAAGCGUGCGCAGGCGGCCCGUUAAGACAGGUGUGAAAUCCCUGGGCUCAACCUAGGAAUUGCGCUUGUGACUGGCGGGCUCGAGUACGGUAGAGGGGGGUGGAAUUCCUGGUGUAGCAGUGAAAUGCGUAGAGAUCAGGAGGAACACCGAUGGCGAAGGCAGCCCCCUGGGCCUGUACUGACGCUCAUGCACGAAAGCGUGGGGAGCAAACAGGAUUAGAUACCCUGGUAGUCCACGCCCUAAACGAUGGGUACUAGCCGUUUGGUGCGCGAUAGCGCUGAGUGGCGAAGCUAACGCGUGAAGUACCCCGCCUGGGGAGUACGGCCGCAAGGUUGAAACUUAAAGGAAUUGGCGG
This 409-nucleotide ribosomal RNA is filed under the name uncultured microorganism. RNAcentral describes it as "bacterial SSU rRNA". It matches the Rfam family "Bacterial small subunit ribosomal RNA", at positions 509 to 916 of the family's 1533-position model. The record is from RNAcentral.